Molecule: ribosomal RNA, 231 nt
Filed under: uncultured bacterium
Lineage: Bacteria
Description: partial 16S ribosomal RNA
Rfam family: Bacterial small subunit ribosomal RNA
Source: RNAcentral
UGAGCAAUCUGCCCUUCUCAUCGGAAUAAGCGUUGGAAACGACGUCUAAUGCCGAAUACGACCUCCUUUCGCAUGAUCGGAGGUGGAAAGCUCCGGCGGAGAAGGAUGAGCUCGCGGCCUAUCAGCUAGUUGGUGUGGGUAACGGCCCACCAAGGCGACGAUCAGUAGCCGGCCUGAGAGGGUGAACGGCCACAUUGGGACUGAGACACGGCCCAAACUCCUACGGGAGCA